Long non-coding RNA from Ictalurus furcatus (blue catfish), 4041 nucleotides. RefSeq lists it as uncharacterized. NCBI's taxonomy places the organism in Eukaryota, Metazoa, Chordata, Actinopteri, Siluriformes, Ictaluridae. The transcript has 8 exons. The record is from RefSeq and is a predicted model, not a curated record.
CUGGAGAUACUGAGGUACACACACACUCACACACACACACACACACUGUACACUGGAGAUACUGAGGUACACACACACACACACACACACUCUCUCUCACACACACACACACACACACACACACACACACACACUGUACACUGGAGACACUGAGGUACACACACACACACACACACACACACUGUACACUGGAGAUACUGAGGUACACACACACACACACACACACACACACUGUACACUGGAGAUACUGAGGUACACACACACACACACACUCUCUCACACACACACACACACACACUGUACACUGGAGACACUGAGGUACACACACACUCACACACACACACUGUACACUGGAGAUACUGAGGUACACACACACACACUCACUCACACAGACACAAACACGCACACACGCUCACACAUGCACUCACAUACAGUACACACUCACACUGGAGAUACUGAGGAUGUGGAACUGCAGGAUUACAGAUGAAGGUUGUGCUGCUCUGGCUUCUGCUCUGAGGUCAAACUCCUCAUCACACCUGAGAGAACUGGAUCUGUUCGGUAAUAAUCCAGGAGAAUCAGGAGUGAAGCUGCUCUCUGAUCUACUGAAGGAUCCACACUGUAACCUGGAGACACUACACAUUAAGGGUAAUAAAUUCACCAGGACUGGCAUAUGACGGGAGUCUCACCUCAAACCUCUUCUCCAGGAUACUGCAGUCUUGGUGAAGAGUUAGAACCCGUCCCACAUUUCCAGCAGUUUGGGAGCUGAAUCAUUAAACUUAAAGGUGCAGAGCAGAAACAAAGUCAAGAACAGGCAGAAGGUCGUACACAGGAGAAAUCAACACACGUAACCAAAUAUCUGCUGUACAAAGCAACGGCACGAUCUGCCCCGGGGAUGGAGACUGACGAGGCUUAAGUACACGUCCGGAAAAGUACAGCCAACUCAUCCCAAAGCACGAGGCGGGAGCAGGCGUGUACGAGAUGUGAUCGUCCAAUGGCAAGCAGGAACAUGACGCAUUGCAGUGGACUGGGCUUAAAAGAGGAGGAAACAAGACACCCAUCCCUCCCCCGACAUAGACACACGAAUGGAACAUAGUACAAAUAGAAAUACAACUGAGGACGUAACAAUGGCCAAGUAUCAAAUAAAAUGUAAACUUGCAUUGAUGAAGGUAAUGUUGUUAGUAAUUGUUUAUAAAUUACCAUGGUAACACAGAGCUCCAAGGUAUAAAAAUAUGGAGUUUGUCAUCAAUCAAACAGUAACCAGUUUUAAUACCUAAAAAUGUUUACAUAGCAAAAUUUAGCAAAGCGCUUUACAGUAAAUUAAAAUGUAAAAUUAAACUAAUGAAGUGUUGUGCAGCACAUGCUUAUGUUAAUGUUUGUUACAUUAUAUAAUCAUAUAAAUAAAUAAAUACUCCCAAAGUCACCAGAAUUGAAAGCUUUGGUGCUGUUAAACAUUUAGAGAUUGAGGUUGUGGUGAGUCAGUAGUUCACUCAGUAUAUCUGGGUAAGACACAGUGAACGACUCACUGCUGGCAUUCAUGAAGAAGUCAUAAACUCCACUGGAAUAAUAAAUAGGAUCUAAUAAAACCAUGAGUGGAAAUUAUUGGUGUAAGUUUGUUAGGAUAGACUUCCUCCAACCUGGAACUAUAUCCUCCAGUCCACGCGGUGGCGGUAACGCGCCUAACAGCUGCGUCUCCGACCAGUAGAAAUCACAGAACAAGAAAAAGCUGCAGCGGGUAUCUCCUGAGCAAAUCCCUUCUAUUGUGCACUGGAAGAUCGCUGGACUUGAAGCAACUCCAAAUGGUGGCCUGUUUGUCCAAAGCCCAGGCUGACCCCCCACCCCUUCAACCUUUGCAGCAAUGCUGGCAGCACUAUUUCCCAAAGACAACCUCUGGAUAUGAUGCUGAGCACGUGCACUCAACUUCUUUGGUCGACCAUGGCGAGGCCUGUUCUGAGUGGAACCUGUCCUGUUAAACCACUGUAUGGUCUUGGCCACCGUGCUGCAGCUCGUUGUCAGGGUCUUGUGUCCAAAGCCCGUGGUGGUGGCAGUGCAUGGCGUGUGUGUGGGAGCAGGUCUGUUGGGAGUGUUAAGUACCAUCUCAUACACUCAGCAAACAAUAUGGAUGGAACUUUCCAGAGUUGUGGUGUCACUUUCCUGCAAAGCUUUAACCAUCAGAGAGUUAUCUUUUACUGGGGCUUUUAGCUGCAGGAGACUGAAUUACUAACAGUUUUUUUUGUGGAUCUGAUUUCUUCUUUCGCAGGAGUGGAUCUAAUCACAGUCUGUGAUAUUUGUCUGUGCACACAGGAUGCCUGGUUUCAGGUGAAGUCGUGUGUUCCCUGAUGGUCAAUGAUUGCUGGAGCUCUGGAAAUAGCAGGUGAGAUUGCAGGCCGGAGUCCCGUCGCUGUCCAGGGAACCAAAAUCAACCUCCUCUACUCCUGAGACCACAGUGUGACUGAGAGCCUAGACUACAUGGCUACUUGGAACAUGAACAUGUUGCAGACACAGGAUCUUAUGAAGUCAGCGCAGACAGCCCUGGAAAAGAAGAGUCCGAAAGACGUGCCCUUCUCCAAGCUUUAAAGGAGAAGAUCCAGGGCUGUUGAAGCUGCGGUGGAACUGAGACUUCAUCAUCCACAGAUCUUUAGUUCUUCUUGUUAAGUCUGAGUUUCUUUUUAGUCUUUUUAUUUUUAGACUGGUCAAAAGACUGAUUAGUGGAAGUGAAAUGAUGGAUGAACUUUUAAUUACUUGCUUUAUUAUUUGCAGGUGACUUGUACAAUAAGACAGGGUAACUAAUACUCAAAAGCUUGUUUUGUGUGUUAACAUGUACAGUAGAUGUACAUAUUUUUUCUGGUCCUGUGUGACUGCAGAAUGUAGUGCAGUUAACACAGUAAAUUUCCUUGGAUGCUCACUUUUAACUCGAGGAGGUCACAGUUUGCCCAGACAUCUUUUUUUAAAUCCGUCAAUCCGUCACCCACACGUCAUUCUGGGGGACGAAGAGGAGGAAGCUGGACAGAUACAUUUAUUUAUUUAUUUAUUUAUUUAUCAUUGCUGUGUUUCCUCAAUCCAGUGCAGAAAGAAGAAAAACACAACUGAUUUAAAAUAAAAAUAUAGAACAUAAUCUAAUGUAAGGUUCUGAUCCGGUUUGCUUUCAGCAGGAAAGCUGUCCUCUUUCCUGUUGCUCUUUCCCUUCUAUUAGUCCAUUUGUCCAGUCUGAAUCGGUUUGAUUCGUUUCAAGACGAUUUGGAGUCGAAUAAUUUUCUAGUGAGAGUCGCACACUUCCAAACGAACUAGACUGAGAUGAGUAUUUGAUUCUCACUAGAAAGUGAUUAGACUCUGAAUCAACUCAAAAUGAAUCAGUCAAACUGAUUCAGACUCUAUAAAAGGAUUAUGAGAUGUGAUUAGGAUAUAUAUUCCAAUGUUUUGCUUUACAAUUCCACUGUGUGUGUGUGCGCGCACGUGUGUUUUUCAGGAGAACGAGAAACUCGGACACAAGAGUACAUCCUGACCAUUGGUACUGUGUACACAUCAACAUACACGCAUGUCUUCAUGUUGGACAUCUCAGGAGCUUUCACACACGGUGCUAGGAAUAUCCCGGGACAGAGAAACGCACCUCCUAAGUGAGCGAGUUUAGCGUCAACCGGUGAAAUUUGCUGUAGUGUGAACACUUCGCCUCUGUGAGCUUCACUCUCCGUCAGGUUCACUGUAAUUAGACAUAAAAUGUACAUAAUGUUUAUUUUUCAUACAUUUAGGAUUUAAUGUUUUUCUUUACUCUUUGAGGAACAGAAAUGAUCUUUUGAGGCAGUUUCAUCACUACCUGCUCCAUUUGAUUAAAACAUUACGACCGGUUUCAAAAAGUCACAAUGUCUUCAGUUCAUGUGAUUUUACUGUUGAAUUUAAACAGGAAAUGUGAAAUAUUUUUUCCUUUGUUUCCUCUACUGUCUUUUUGCUGUGAUCUUGAACACAGUUGUAAUUUUAUUAUUAUUUUUUAAAUAAAUAAAUGAUCAUUCUAUUCUUUCUCACUUUCCUUGUCCUAAUUGUCCUGUAUCU